RNAcentral lists this ribosomal RNA (292 nucleotides) under uncultured bacterium. RNAcentral's name for it is "partial 16S ribosomal RNA". It matches the Rfam family "Bacterial small subunit ribosomal RNA", at positions 505 to 796 of the family's 1533-position model. The record is from RNAcentral.
GUGCCAGCAGCCGCGGUAAUACGAAGGGGGCUAGCGUUGCUCGGAAUUACUGGGCGUAAAGGGCGCGUAGGCGGCUCUGUCAGUCGGGCGUGAAAUCCCUGGGCUCAACCUGGGGGCUGCGCCCGAUACGGCGGGGCUAGAGGGCAGGAGAGGCUCGCGGAAUUCCCAGUGUAGAGGUGAAAUUCGUAGAUAUUGGGAAGAACACCGGUGGCGAAGGCGGCGAGCUGGCCUGUUACUGACGCUGAGGCGCGACAGCGUGGGGAGCAAACAGGAUUAGAAACCCCCGUAGUCC